GAUCAUGGCUCAGGAUGAACGCUGGCGGCGUGCUUAACACAUGCAAGUCGAGCGAAGCGCUUUUGUCGGAUUUCUUUCGGAUUGAAGCAACUGUGACUGAGCGGCGGACGGGUGAGUAACGCGUGGGUAACCUACCUCAUACAGGGGGAUAACAGUUGGAAACGGCUGCUAAUACCGCAUAAGCGCACAGUACCGCAUGGUACCGUGUGAAAAACUCCGGUGGUAUGAGAUGGACCCGCGU
This 241-nucleotide ribosomal RNA is filed under the name uncultured bacterium. RNAcentral's name for it is "partial 16S ribosomal RNA". It matches the Rfam family "Bacterial small subunit ribosomal RNA", at positions 15 to 236 of the family's 1533-position model. The record is from RNAcentral.